GCCCCAGUAACGGCGAGUGAAGCGGCAACAGCUCAAAUUUGAAAUCUGGCCCCUAGGGUCCGAGUUGUAAUUUGCAGAGGAUGAUUUUGGCGAGGUGCCUUCCGAGUUCCCUGGAACGGGACGCCACAGAGGGUGAGAGCCCCGUCUGGUUGGACGCCGAGCCUAUGUAAAUCUCCUUCGACGAGUCGAGUAGUUUGGGAAUGCUGCUCUAAAUGGGAGGUAUAUGUCUUCUAAAGCUAAAUAUUGGCCAGAGACCGAUAGCGCACAAGUAGAGUGAUCGAAAGAUGAAAAGCACUUUGAAAAGAGGGUUAAAUAGUACGUGAAAUUGUUGAAAGGGAAGCGCUCAUGACCAGACUUGGGCCCGGUGAAUCAUCCAGCGUUCUCGCUGGUGCACUUUGCCGGGCACAGGCCAGCAUCAGUUUGCCCCGGGGGAUAAAGGCUUUGGGAAUGUGGCUCCUCCGGGAGUGUUAUAGCCCAUUGCAUAAUAUCCUGGGGCGGACUGAGGUUCGCGCAUCUGCAAGGAUGCUGGCGUAAUGGUCAUCAGCGACCCGUCUUGAAACACGGACCAAGGAGUCGUCUUCGUAUGCGAGUGUUCGGGUGUAAAACCCCUACGCGUAAUGAAAGUGAACGCAGGUGAGAGCUUCGGCGCAUCAUCGACCGAUCCUGAUGUUCUCGGAUGGAUUUGAGUAAGAGCAUACGGGGCCGGACCCGAAAGAAGGUGAACUAUGCCUGUAUAGGGUGAAGCCAGAGGAAACUCUGGUGGAGGCUCGCAGCGGUUCUGACGUGCAAAUCGAUCGUCAAAUAUGG
This 807-nucleotide ribosomal RNA is filed under the name Metapochonia cordycipiticonsociata. RNAcentral's name for it is "LSU rRNA". It matches the Rfam family "Eukaryotic large subunit ribosomal RNA", at positions 77 to 914 of the family's 3401-position model. The record is from RNAcentral. Lineage: Eukaryota; Fungi; Ascomycota; Sordariomycetes; Hypocreales; Clavicipitaceae.